This 427-nucleotide ribosomal RNA is filed under the name uncultured bacterium. RNAcentral's name for it is "bacterial SSU rRNA". It matches the Rfam family "Bacterial small subunit ribosomal RNA", at positions 355 to 775 of the family's 1533-position model. The record is from RNAcentral.
UCGAGAAUUUUUGACAAUGGGGGAAACCCUGAUCGAGCGACGCCGCGUGGAGGAUGAAGGUCUUCGGGUUGUAAACUCCUGUCAUUUGGGAACAAUGCUAUUCGGUUAACUGCCGAGUAGUUGAUAGUACCAGAAGAGGAAGAGACGGCUAACUCUGUGCCAGCAGCCGCGGUAAUACAGAGGUCUCAAGCGUUGUUCGGAUUCAUUGGGCGUAAAGGGUGCGUAGGCGGCGCGGUAAGUCGGGUGUGAAAUUUCGGAGCUUAACUCCGAAACUGCAUUCGAUACUGCCGUGCUUGAGGACUGGAGAGGAGACUGGAAUUUACGGUGUAGCAGUGAAAUGCGUAGAGAUCGUAAGGAAGACCAGUGGCGAAGGCGGGUCUCUGGACAGUUCCUGACGCUGAGGCACGAAGGCCAGGGGAGCAAACGG